GCACAUCUUGGCCUUUGCACACUUGAGUGGGUCUUCACCAGCUGCUUGCAAGUAAGCUUCAAUAACAAGGCCUGGGUACCCCUGAGGGGUACCGGGACAAGCCCAACAUGGCGGCUCAGAGCCGGAGCUGCAGAUUCUGCACCCAGGGCAAGAACUUCCCUUCGGUUUGUGGGACAGAAGCAGGAAGUGGGCUCAGGCUUGAAGACAGAUGUGUUCCCACAAACUCGGCCCUUGCGACAAUAUCCAUAGGGUAAUCGGCAUAUAUUGAGGGUCACCAUAGAAGCAUGAGCCAAUAUAGGCUCUCGAAGUCAGGAUCAGUUUUGCUUUUGGCUUUGGCUAGUACCUACUAUGCUAUCUUGCACAUAGUAAGUCUUUAAUGAA
This is a long non-coding RNA of Phascolarctos cinereus (koala), 381 nucleotides long. RefSeq lists it as uncharacterized. NCBI's taxonomy places the organism in Eukaryota, Metazoa, Chordata, Mammalia, Diprotodontia, Phascolarctidae. The record is from RefSeq and is a predicted model, not a curated record.